This 21-nucleotide unclassified non-coding RNA is filed under the name Mus musculus (house mouse). Its description in RNAcentral is "oocyte_clustered_small_RNA8453". The record is from RNAcentral. Lineage: Eukaryota; Metazoa; Chordata; Mammalia; Rodentia; Muridae.
UGGAGGCGGCCGUGCAGGAGG